ACCCGCACAAGCGGUGGAUGAUGUGGAUUAAUUCGAUGCAACGCGAAAACCUUACUACCCUUGACAUGUCCGGAAUCCCGAAGAGAUUUGGGAGUGCUCGCAAGAGAACCGGAACACAGGUGCUGCAUGGCUGUCGUCAGCUCGUGUCGUGAGAUGUUGGGUUAAGUCCCGCAACGAGCGCAACCCUUGUCAUUAGUUGCCAUCAUUUGGUUGGGCACUCUAAUGAGACUGCCGGUGACAAACCGGAGGAAGGUGGGGAUGACGUCAAGUCCUCAUGGCCCUUAUGGGUAGGGCUUCACACGUCAUACAAUGGUCGGUACAGAGGGUUGCCAACCCGCGAGGGGGAGCUAAUCCCACAAAGCCGAUCGUAGUCCGGAUCGCAGUCUGCAACUCGACUGCGUGAAGUUGGAAUCGCUAGUAAUCGUAGAUCAGCAUGCUACGGUGAAUACGUUCCCGGGCCUU
This 462-nucleotide ribosomal RNA is filed under the name uncultured Rhodocyclaceae bacterium. RNAcentral describes it as "bacterial SSU rRNA". It matches the Rfam family "Bacterial small subunit ribosomal RNA", at positions 919 to 1382 of the family's 1533-position model. Lineage: Bacteria; Pseudomonadati; Pseudomonadota; Betaproteobacteria; Rhodocyclales; Rhodocyclaceae. The record is from RNAcentral.